UACGUAGGUGGCAAGCGUUGUCCGGAUUUAUUGGGUUUAAAGCGCGCGUAGGCGGCCCUGUAAGUCCGUUGUGAAAGUCAAAGGCUCAACCUUUGAAAGCCGAUGGAUACUGCAGGGCUAGAGUCCGGAAGAGGCGAGUGGAAUUCCUGGUGUAGCGGUGAAAUGCGCAGAUAUCAGGAGGAACACCUAUUGCGAAGGCAGCUCGCUGGGACGUUACUGACGCUGAGACGCGAAAGCGUGGGGAGCAAACAGG
This 253-nucleotide ribosomal RNA is filed under the name uncultured bacterium. RNAcentral's name for it is "partial 16S ribosomal RNA". It matches the Rfam family "Bacterial small subunit ribosomal RNA", at positions 524 to 776 of the family's 1533-position model. The record is from RNAcentral.